This 434-nucleotide ribosomal RNA is filed under the name uncultured bacterium. Its description in RNAcentral is "partial 16S ribosomal RNA". It matches the Rfam family "Bacterial small subunit ribosomal RNA", at positions 380 to 832 of the family's 1533-position model. The record is from RNAcentral.
AAGCUGAUGCAGCGACGCCGCGUGAGGGAUGAAGGCCUUCGGGUUGUAACCUCUUUUCUCUGGGACGAUGAUGACGGGACCCCCCGAAGAAACUCCGGCCCACUUCGUGCCCCCCCCCCCGGUUAUACCUAGGGGGCGGGCGUUGUUCGGAAUUUCUGGGCCUAAAAAGGACUGAAGGGGGUUGGUUAGUCUGGGGUGAAAUCCCCCCGCUCAACCCGGGGGAGGCCCCUGCUACUGGCCGGGCUGAGUCGGGGAGAGGGGGGGUGGAUUCCCGGGGUGGUGGGGGAAUGCCUUGAUAAUAGGGAGGAAACCCCAGGGGAAGACGGGGCCCCUGGCUGGUACUUAACCUAAGGUGCGAAAGCGUGGGGAGCAAACCGGAUUUGAUACCCUGGUAGUGCACGCCCUAAACGAUGCGUGCCUGGUUUGGGGGGGGU